AAAUGCAUCUUACGCCAUCACACACACACACACACACACAUCUGAUACUCGACAGCAGCAGACUAACGCAGGCCGAUGAAGAUGAUGGGGAGAGUCACCUGGUGCUGUGUAGCUCUGCUCCUUGCCCUGACUUCUGUGUUGGCUGUACAGAAAGAGCUCGAUUCAAUCAAUGAUUUGAAGAAAAUCAACUUCGGCCAAUCUGUGCCAAAGCACAGUCUUCUGCUGCUCCACUGGUUUGCCAACACAGUUAACAUUGAAGAUAACGACGUAUUAAGCCUGACCUUUGACCCAAACACUAGAGCUUAUGGCUCACAUCAUUAUGGCAACUUUGAGCGGCUGCUUGACCCACUUCCUUGGAGAAAUCAAUACAGGUACUACACUAUCGGCAGUCUCAAUCAAGACCAAUCCUUGCAACUUCCACCUUAUGUUGUCCGUCCUUCAAGUCAGUAUGCGGGACAAAACAUGGACAGGAUCAUAGUUCGUGUCAGGGAGCAAAACACUGGACAACAAGUUUUGCGGAGGAUAGACCAAGUGUAUAUCACACAGCAUAUUCCAAAUCAUGCUGAAUAUGAUCCAGCUCAUACCUACAGGAUCACCAUCAACCUCCUGAGACAGAUCAGAGAGUUCUCUGUGGGAGAAAACGCACAGCAACUGUCGUAUCUCAGAAACCGAUUUCGAAGCAGCGCUGAUGAUGUACAAAUCAGAAACACAUGGGGUCAACUUGCUUGCCUUGGACUGCUGUUGUAUAUUGUGAUCCAGGAAAAGCACUCCUUUACCCCGCAUUACAACUACAAUCGAGUAAACCAAAACAGACCAGUAAUCCACUACAGACCAGUAGUUGACUAUAGACCAGAAAUCAACUACACACCACAAUACACACCACAAAACACUUACAGACACAAUAGCACAAACAGUGAUGGGGCUGACCAUUUGGUGAAAUGCAUUCUUUUUGUUUUAUUUAUCUUUUUUUUUAAUUAUUUUGGCAUUUUCUAGUACAUUCAAAAGUAGGUGAGGUAUAGACUUAACAAACAAUUGUGUUCUCGGGUAACAAAAAAAAUAAACGGAAAUCAGGAAUUCUCAAUACAUACAUAAAAGAAAAAAAGGGCAAAUUUGAACUCUAAGAAUCAAAGACAAAGAAUAAAUAAGGAUAUAGGAUUACAGCGUAACAGGUAUGGAUGAUAAUACAAGCAAGUAAACCUCUGAAAAGUCCAGUGCCAGUGGUCCUGGUAUCAUAUGUAACUAGACAAAAACCUAAGGAAUGCAUUGGACAAUGUCUUGCAAGCUUGUCGCGAAGGCAUCAAAAUAAUGUUUCAAAGUUUGGCUUCAUUGUGUGUAUGUGUCGGAACACCCCCAGUCCACCACACCUACAAAUAAAAGUUAAAAAUUAUAAUGAUAGAAACUGGAUGUAGUCCAAAAUUGUAAAUGAUAAUGCACUGCUCUGGCGUGUUUGUAAAGCUCAAGGCUGCUUUCACUGGACAAGGUCCUGUUCCAGCAUGUAUAACCUAAUAGAAAUGAGUCACUGGUGGAUAAUCCUGUGUUUGAUAGACAUAAUGAGCCUUUAGAUUGUUCUGAUUGUUUGUUUCAUUUAUGUAUGAGGAAGUAAUAAGUUAACAAAAUGGUGUUGUUUUAUUAAACUAAAAUGUAUCAGAAAGA
This is a long non-coding RNA of Eleginops maclovinus (Patagonian blennie), 1653 nucleotides long. RefSeq lists it as uncharacterized. Lineage: Eukaryota; Metazoa; Chordata; Actinopteri; Perciformes; Eleginopidae. The transcript is spliced from 2 exons. The record is from RefSeq and is a predicted model, not a curated record.